This 94-nucleotide ribosomal RNA is filed under the name Faecalibacterium prausnitzii. Lineage: Bacteria; Bacillati; Bacillota; Clostridia; Eubacteriales; Oscillospiraceae. The record is from RNAcentral. RNAcentral also lists the same sequence under 2 other names.
UCCACCUGUUCCCAUUCCGAACACAGAAGUUAAGCUCACUCGUGCCCAAGAUAGUUCGCUGGAAACGGCGCGUGAAAAUAGGUAGUCGCCGACU